Molecule: ribosomal RNA, 253 nt
Filed under: uncultured bacterium
Lineage: Bacteria
Description: partial 16S ribosomal RNA
Rfam family: Bacterial small subunit ribosomal RNA
Source: RNAcentral
UACGUAGGGUGCGAGCGUUGUCCGGAAUUAUUGGGCGUAAAGAGCUCGUAGGCGGUUUGUUGCGUCUAUCGUGAAAACCUGCAGCUUAACUGUGGGCUUGCGGUGGAUACUGGCAGACUUGAGUUCGGUAGGGGAGACUGGAAUUCCUGGUGUAGCGGUGAAAUGCGCAGAUAUCAGGAGGAACACCGGUGGCGAAGGCGGGUCUCUGGGCCGAUACUGACGCUUAGGAGCGAAAGCGUGGGGAGCGAACAGG